GCCGGACUAGCUCAGUUGGUAGAGCGCCGCACUCGUAACGCGGAAGUCGUCGGUUCAAAUCCGUCGUUCGGCUCCA
Molecule: transfer RNA, 76 nt
Filed under: Acidithiobacillus ferridurans
Lineage: Bacteria; Pseudomonadati; Pseudomonadota; Acidithiobacillia; Acidithiobacillales; Acidithiobacillaceae
Also listed under: 1 other name
Description: tRNA-Thr
Rfam family: tRNA
About the family: Transfer RNA (tRNA) molecules are approximately 80 nucleotides in length. Their secondary structure includes four short double-helical elements and three loops (D, anti-codon, and T loops).
Source: RNAcentral